GCUCAGAAACUUAAGGAAUUGACGGGGCCCGCACAAGCGGAGGAGCAUGUGGUUUAAUUCGAUGAUACGCGAGGAACCUUACCUAGGCUCGAACGUAAGAUGACUGUAGGUGAAAGCUUACAUCUCUUCGGAGCAUUUUACGAGGUGCUGCAUGGUUGUCGUCAGCUCGUGCCGUGAGGUGUCGGGUUAAGUCCCAUAACGAGCGCAACCCCUACCUUUAGUUGCCAUCAGGUAAUGCUGGGGACUCUAAAGGAACUGCCUACGCAAGUAGUGAGGAAGGCGGGGAUGACGUCAAAUCAGCACGGCCCUUACGUCCAGGGCUACACACGUGCUACAAUGGCCGAUACAGAGGGCAGCUACCUGGUGACAGGAUGCAAAUCUCCAAAGUCGGUCUCAGUUCGGAUCGGAGUCUGCAACCCGACUCCGUGAAGUUGGAUUCGCUAGUAAUCGCGCAUCAGCCAUGGCGCGGUGAAUACGUUCCCGGGCCUU
This 489-nucleotide ribosomal RNA is filed under the name uncultured Sphingobacteriales bacterium. RNAcentral's name for it is "bacterial SSU rRNA". It matches the Rfam family "Bacterial small subunit ribosomal RNA", at positions 904 to 1382 of the family's 1533-position model. The record is from RNAcentral. Lineage: Bacteria; Pseudomonadati; Bacteroidota; Sphingobacteriia; Sphingobacteriales.